GAUGAACGCUGGCGGCGUGCCUAAUACAUGCAAGUCGAGCGAACAGACGAGGAGCUUGCUCCUCUGACGUUAGCGGCGGACGGGUGAGUAACACGUGGAUAACCUACCUAUAAGACUGGGAUAACUUCGGGAAACCGGAGCUAAUACCGGAUAAUAUAUUGAACCGCAUGGUUCAAUAGUGAAAGACGGUUUUGCUGUCACUUAUAGAUGGAUCCGCGCCGCAUUAGCUAGUUGGUAAGGUAACGGCUUACCAAGGCAACGAUGCGUAGCCGACCUGAGAGGGUGAUCGGCCACACUGGAACUGAGACACGGUCCAGACUCCUACGGGAGGCAGCAGUAGGGAAUCUUCCGCAAUGGGCGAAAGCUUGACGGAGCAACGCCGCGUGAGUGAUGAAGGUCUUCGGAUCGUAAAACUCUGUUAUUAGGGAAGAACAAAUGCGUAAGUAACUAUGCACGGCUUGACGGUACCUAAUCAGAAAGCCACGGCUAACUACGUG
This 497-nucleotide ribosomal RNA is filed under the name uncultured bacterium. RNAcentral's name for it is "partial 16S ribosomal RNA". It matches the Rfam family "Bacterial small subunit ribosomal RNA", at positions 28 to 507 of the family's 1533-position model. The record is from RNAcentral.